GACGAACGCUGGCGGCGUGCCUAAUACAUGCAAGUUGAGCGAUGAAGAUUGGUGCUUGCCCCAAUUUGAAGAGCAGCGAACGGGUGAGUAACGCGUGGGGAAUCUGCCUUUGAGCGGGGGACAACAUUUGGAAACGAAUGCUAAUACCGCAUAACAACUUUAAACAUAAGUUUUAAGUUUGAAAGAUGCAAUUGCAUCACUCAAAGAUGAUCCCGCGUUGUAUUAGCUAGUUGGUGAGGUAAAGGCUCACCAAGGCGAUGAUACAUAGCCGACCUGAGAGGGUGACCGCCACAUUGGGACUGAGACACGGCCCAAACUCCUACGGGAGGCAGCAGUAGGGAAUCUUCGGCAAUGGACGAAAGUCUGACCGAGCAACGCCGCGUGAGUGAAGAAGGUUUUCGGAUCGUAAAACUCUGUUGGUAGAGAAGAACGUUGGUGAGAGUGGAAAGCUCAUCAAGUGACGGUAACUACCCAGAAAGGGACGGCUAACUACGUG
RNAcentral lists this ribosomal RNA (496 nucleotides) under uncultured bacterium. RNAcentral's name for it is "partial 16S ribosomal RNA". It matches the Rfam family "Bacterial small subunit ribosomal RNA", at positions 28 to 507 of the family's 1533-position model. The record is from RNAcentral.